Drosophila persimilis is the source of this 92-nucleotide non-coding RNA. NCBI's taxonomy places the organism in Eukaryota, Metazoa, Arthropoda, Insecta, Diptera, Drosophilidae. The record is from Rfam.
ACUGAAACAACCCGUCUCGAAUAGCGUUGUGACUGAUGACUGCAUUUGUAAUUUUCUCAGCGGCAGUGCUAUUCCAGUUGGGUUGUUUGCGG